This 301-nucleotide ribosomal RNA is filed under the name uncultured bacterium. RNAcentral describes it as "partial 16S ribosomal RNA". It matches the Rfam family "Bacterial small subunit ribosomal RNA", at positions 509 to 807 of the family's 1533-position model. The record is from RNAcentral.
CAGCCGCCGCGGUAAUACGAAGGUCCCGAGCGUUGUUCGGAAUCACUGGGCGUAAAGGGAGCGUAGGCGACGUGGUAGGUCAGAUGUGAAAUCCCGGGGCUCAACCCCGGAACUGCAUCCGAUACUGCCAUGCUAGAGGAUUGGAGAGGUAGCUGGAAUUCUUGGUGUAGCAGUGAAAUGCGUGGAGAUCAAGAGGAACACUCGUGGCGAAAGCGAGCUACUGGACAAUAACUGACGCUGAGGCUCGAAGGCCAGGGUAGCGAAAGGGAUUAGAGACCCCAGUAGUCCCUGUCUCUUAUAC